GACUUCAAUGUGAACUGCAUGGGUGCUCAUGCAGGUGAAAAGCACCGCCCAGCGUUUACUGAGAGCUUGACCUCCUCUUGUUCGGCGAGCUACCACUGUCCAAGGCCCAAAGACAUCUAAGCCAGUGUGCCAACCACUGCAUGUGUUGGAUUCACUGGUGGAUCUAGAAGAGCAAACUACAUGGAUGAGCGAUGCAAUGGCUCUUUGUAAGGAUUUCCAAGAGGAGAACCUCUGAAACCUGUCAGAGGAAUGCUGGACCUGUAAACCAGUUCGACUUCACGAGCUGAGAUGCAUGGAUGGACCUGGAAGCAAUGUCAGCAGGAUUGUGCUCUGUGGGUAUGUAUCGCCAUUGCUUUGGUUCUG
Molecule: long non-coding RNA, 363 nt
Organism: Carassius gibelio (silver crucian carp)
Lineage: Eukaryota; Metazoa; Chordata; Actinopteri; Cypriniformes; Cyprinidae
Exons: 3
Source: RefSeq, a predicted model, not a curated record